RNAcentral lists this non-coding RNA (48 nucleotides) under Schistosoma haematobium. Lineage: Eukaryota; Metazoa; Platyhelminthes; Trematoda; Strigeidida; Schistosomatidae. The record is from RNAcentral.
AUCCAACUGACGAGUCUCAAAUAGGAUGAAAUAUGUGUCAAACUAGAU